AUGCACGCUGGCGGCGUGCCUCAUCCCUGCAAGUCGAGCGAACAGACGAGGAGCUUGCUCCUCUGACGUUAGCGGCGGACGGGUGAGUAACACGUGGAUAACCUACCUAUAAGACUGGGAUAACUUCGGGAAACCGGAGCUAAUACCGGAUAAUAUAUUGAACCGCAUGGUUCAAUAGUGAAAGACGGUUUUGCUGUCACUUAUAGAUGGAUCCGCGCCGCAUUAGCUAGUUGGUAAGGUAACGGCUUACCAAGGCGACGAUGCGUAGCCGACCUGAGAGGGUGAUCGGCCACACUGGAACUGAGACACGGUCCAGACUCCUACGGGAGGCAGCAGUAGGGAAUCUUCCGCAAUGGGCGAAAGCCUGACGGAGCAACGCCGCGUGAGUGAUGAAGGUCUUCGGAUCGUAAAACUCUGUUAUUAGGGAAGAACAAAUGUGUAAGUAACUAUGCACGUCUUGACGGUACCUAAUCAGAAAGCCACGGCUAACUACGUG
Molecule: ribosomal RNA, 496 nt
Filed under: uncultured bacterium
Lineage: Bacteria
Description: partial 16S ribosomal RNA
Rfam family: Bacterial small subunit ribosomal RNA
Source: RNAcentral